AGUGCACCUCCCGCCGUAGCCUGAGAGGGAUCGGCCCGAUUGGCCACGCUCCUUCAAACCACCACUUUCCCCCGAAAAAGGGACGAAAGCCUCAGGUCCCCAAACGAGCGCUCCCUCGCCCAGAGACCCCGGCUUGCACACCCCGCCCUGUUCCCCGCGGCGCGGGAGGAGAGGCCGCCCCACACAGGAAGUGUGUCCUGCGCCGGGACCUUGCGCCCAACCCGCCGGUACCUGCCCUCCGCCCCCAACAGGCGAGAAGCAGCCGCGUCCACAUGGCUUCAGGUCACUGAUUCUACUACCAUCUGUCAGCGUGGAUUGAUUGAGGAGACUGGCCCUGCUCGGCAGAUCAGUGACUUGUGCGAAGUGAGCCAGGGUGUCGGUGCCUUCAGAGCAGGCGGAUGUCCUUCCUCACUUGCCAGCUCUCGGUCCCACAGAAACUUCUGCUCUCCAGGUUUGCCCCUCCACUCUGCCCUCCAGGAUAGAAGUGUGGCAUCCUAAUCUGGGAUGCAUCCAUCUCUCCCCCUGGACUGUGAGCAUAUGCAGGGCAGAGACACCUCUGCUUCUCUUGGGUCUCCGGCAUCCUGUGCAGGAUGGGGCCACUGAGGUGCAAAGAGUUUAACUUAUCCCAAGUCACACAGUUUGGAAGAGGCUGAGCUGGUAUUUGAACCCAGGUUUUCAGAGGCUGCACUCUUAACCACCAAGCUUCCCAGCACUCAGCAAACACUGGAAAGACAGAGAUGGACCUAGACAGUCAGUAGGACCAAAAGUCUGCAGGCCGAUAGGGAAAGAAUGUAAGAGGACGGCAUGGGCAGCGCCAGCCCCUCCAGCAGUCAUAUAUUAAGCCCUGGACACUGGGCAGCUCGGGCAGGUCGGGGGGCCUCAGACUCUCGGACCCCAUGCCUGGAAGACCACGGUCUGCCCAACAAGCAGCAGCUGCUGUGAAUCGACUUACACAUCUUCCCCACAGGUGAGCAGAGAGCUAACACCUGAGGAUAGGCCAAGAAACGGGAAGCCCGUGCAACCUGAGCGCACAGAUCACCCCCACCUGCCCGGCACUCACUGUCCCCAGUGGCUGGACUCUCAUCGGGCCAGUCACUGAGCUGGCGCCAGCCUGGUCUCACCAGUGUGUGUCUUUAAAUCAUCCAAUUUCUUCAGCUGUAAAUUGGGCUGGGAGGGGCCAGGUGAGCUGCCUGCCUCAGGGGAGUCGGCGCCCUUACCUGAGUGAUCCCAUUCACUCCUCACAACAAACCCAUGAGGCAGGGAUUGUCAUCUUCAUUGUACAGAGCAGGAAAUGGGUGCACACAGAGGUUAAGAGACUUGCCCAGGUCACACAGCUAGGAAGAGGCUGUGAUUUGAACUCAGUCUUCUGGCUCCAAAGCCCCCACAGAGUCACUCAGGGCACUACAAAGAGUUAACCUGAAUAUGAAAUGAUCUAAGAGUCGCAGUGACAAAGGCAUGCUCUAAGCGCUUUUCCUGCAGUAACUUGCUUAAUCCUUACAACAACCCUAUAAAGUGGGUACUGUUCUCGCCUCAUUUUGCAGAUGAGGAAACUGAGGCACAGAGCAGCUCGGAGGGGGCAGAGCUGAAUCUGACAGGCUACAGGGCCCCUGCGUUGCUUUGUUAUAAGAUGACAAUAAGGAAGUUCCUUUCCUUUGGGAUUAUUUCUGCCUGAAAGCUCAAGACUUUUAGCCACAUCAUUGUCUGGGCUCCACGGGAAGGCAGUGCCACAUGCUGAGGCAUGCUGGGAAAAGACUUUGUUCCAUCCUGUUUUGUUGACAUGCUCUUCAUUUUUAAGCCUGAAACCGAAGCUUCCUGCUAAGAAUUCAAACCAUGGAGAAAAACGCAGCCAUGAUAACGGCCACUACUUCCUGAGCCUCCAGUGUUCCCUGUGCUUGGGGAUCCAUAUAUGUCACUUAACCUUAACCUUCACAACACCAGGGCAGCCUCCAUUUUCACAAGUGAAGAAAUGGAGGCCCAGAGUCACUUAGAAGAUGCUCGAAGGUGCACAGCUGCUAAGUGGUGGUGCUGGGAUUUGUCCUCAGGUCCUCAAGAGUCCUGACUCUUAUGUGCUGGCUCCCCACGGAGGCGUGGAGUCUUGUUUGCUGGGCAUUUGACAGAAAUGUUUCUGCUCAUCUUCUGCCACAGGUUGGUCCUUCAGCGUCAAGAUUCCUGGGCCACUUAUUAAUAGAAGGCACCAGGACACAGGUGCAGGGAUGCAGAGCUGGAUGCUGCCUUCUCAAUAGGAGAAGCCAAGAAACGCAGAUGCCGAUGCUUAAUCAACUCCGUCUCUCCCUCUAGUGACUCGGGGAUAGCUGCCCUGAUGCCAAGGCGAUUGUCUUCUGGAAGCAGCCACGCCGUGUGAGGUUCCUCAUCACUGCCCUGCAUCUCCCUGCGAGCUCUCGGGGAUAAUUGCAAAAUCACGUUUGAUUCCAGGGGAGCAGAAAGCAGCAGGAGCCGUGAAUUCUCCAACUCUUAACUGGUCCUCGACUGGAGCCACUUUUCCCUGCCCACCCAUCCCUGUGGCGGAUUCAUUACAGUUAUCCAAAGCCGGUUUUAACUUUGCUCCCCCUGGCUCAGAAGUCUGUCAGUGGGUCCUGAGCGGCUUCACCAUUCAAGUUUAUUCCUAUCAGCCUGGAAUACAAUGCUCUAUCUGGCUCCGCUUGCUUCUCCAAACCUUCUCUCCCAGGUCUCAUUCUGCCUCUCUGUCUAACUAGACAAGUUGGCUUCCUGUCCUGUGCCUGUCUGCUCCCUGCAGCAGGAAUGCCGUUCCCUCUUCCCUACAGAUUGAAAUUAUAUCCUCUUUCAAGUCUUACUCAAAUGCCACCUCCUCCACAAACUCUUAACACUUAUUCAUUCAUUCAACAAACAUUGACUGAGCCCUUAUGACAAGCAUUGAUCCCAAGGGUCCCUGUGGUCAUGAAGUUUAUGGUGCCAUGGAGCUGUUAGAAAAAGAAUCAUCACAUAAAUAAUCAUCUGAUAACAGCCAUGAUACAAAUUAGUAAGAAAGUGUGGCAGGAGCACAGCAGAUGUACAAUAGGGACCCUGAGCCUUGGGGAUCUAGGACAUUUGAGCUGAGGCCUGAAAGACAAGUAGGAAGUAACCACAUGGUGAAGUUGGAGGAGAGCUCCAGGCAGAGGGCACGGCAUGGGCAAAGGCCCUGCGGUAGGAGGGAACAAGUAGAUUUCCAGGAAGGGCACAGGGGCCUGCAGGGUAAUGUAAGUGAAAUGAGAAAGCUGGAGAUGCAGCUGGAGCAGGACAGUACAGGCCACAGAGGCUUUGCGACUUUAUCCCUGGGCAAAAAGAGGAGAUGAUGAAGGAUUCUGAGCACAGGACACAAGCCAGUAUGUAUUUAGACGCGAUCCUGCCCUGUGGCUGAGCCUCUUCUGAGAAGUGCAGGCCCUGUGUCACGUCACCCUGAACCUCAGUCAUCAGGGUUUUGGAUGUGAGUUUCCAUAUCCCUCUUCCUAGGCCAAGCUCUCAAAGGCAAGGCUGACCUCUGGUCUUCAGCUUCAUCCUCAUCAGCCAGGCCAGUGCCCAGCACAAGGAGCUGCUCCAAAAACAUACGUGGGUUGAACCAGUGACCAGGACAAGACGCUUAUCAGCAUUUCCCUGCGAAGGAGCAGGGCUGCCUGUAAAGCCUUCCACAUUCUCUAGAAAUUACAAAGUUCAAGGGUUUUAGUGAGGCCACGACUCAGGGAGCCCUUGAGAGCCAAGCUGGCAUCCCACUGCUGUGCACACCCAGCCUGGGCACACAGUAUGACCCUGCCCAGGCAUCUGCCUGCGGCCGUCUGGUGAAUGACCAGAAACAGAACCGAAAGCUCUGUAAAGUGCUCUCAAGGUUACAAAGCAUGUUUCACAGGAGCAGUUUCAUCUCACACGGGCAGCCCUCUGAGCUGGGUAGUUACUGCUUUACAGAUGAGGAAACUGAGGCCCGGGAGAGGGCGGGACCUCAGCAAAUCAAGAAAAAACUGAGACUAGGACCUAACGGAAGUCCAGGCUAUGAAUGGCCCCCGUAGGGUUAAAAGAGCUUUCUAGAAAUUUCUUUGAAAACUAUUGUAAAGUGACAUAUUUCCUCAGGAUGUCUGUCACGCCAGCAGUGGGAGCCAACACACCAACUCUCAGAGGCUGUUCCCCCUGCGCGGCAGAUCCAGACGCUCAGCUCCCAGGCCUGGAGGCUGGCGGCUUAGCCCAGGGCACAGGAGGAGGCUGCCUGGGUUUGGCGCUGACUUACAGCAGGUGCUGAGGGAAUGCUGAGGAGAGGCAAGGCUGAUUCAAGAGGCCGACAACAGAGAACAUUCCUAGAGCUCUCCCGCCAGCUAGGCAUGGUGCUAAGUGCAUUACCUGCGUCCACUCGUAACAUCCUCACAACACUGUGAAUACGAUGACCAUCCCCAUGUACAGGCGUGGACGCUAAGGCUCAGAGCAAUAAAUAAUUAGCCUGAGAUCACACGGCAGGUGAGUGCAGAGGCCGGAUCUGAACCCACACAUUGCCCUUAAGCAACCCCAUGUCCUGAGCAAAGGUGAGCAGAAACAUCUUGGGAAGAGGGAACCACGACUGUAUCUUCCUCAGCAGACAUGAUGGUGCAGGGUACCCCUUCCCCUGCCCACCUGACGACCAUUAUUCCCAUUAUCAGUAUAUCCCUCUGUGGGCAAAUGAUGACAGACAUGCAUGGUAACCACUUCUUCACAAGUUUUGUGUCUCCCCAGCCUCCUCCCCUAGGGCUCUCUAGGCUUCCUUUACCCGUCCUGCCUCAGAUGGACUCCCAGCAUCAUCAUCUGCCUCUGUGCCUUCUUGGUAGUAGGUGGGUGUGAAAAAGAAAGGAAGGGCCAGGUGCAGUGGCUCAUACCUGUAGUCCCAGCACUUUGGGAGGCUGAGGCGGGCGGAUCACCUGAGGUCAGGAGUUCGAAACCAGCCUGGCCAACAUGGUGAAACCCUAUCUCUGGUGGCAGGUGCCUGUAAUCCCAGCUACUUGGAAGGCUGAGGCUGGAGAAUCACUUGAACCUGGGAGGCAGAGGUUGCAGUGAGCAGAGAUUGCGCCACUGCACUCCAGUCUGGGCAACAGAGCGACUCCCUCUCAAUAAAUAAAAUAAAAUAAGGAAGGACAGAGGGCAAUGUGACCUUCGGCAAGCUCCCUAAGCUCCUGAAGCCUCAGCCUUUUCACCCGUAGAACAGGGACAUUAACAUCACCCCCGAGUGAGGGCUGCAGGCACACAGUGACUGCGCUUCUCAGUGCCACAAGUGCUGUUGCCAUCAUUCCAGCCUCAGGUGCUCCGUGAGGUGGGACGAUUCACCCCAUGAGCAAACAGGCUCAGGGAGGUGUGGUGCCUACAGUCACCCAGCAGACACAGCGGAGCAAGGAGGAAGCCACACCUG
Molecule: long non-coding RNA, 5374 nt
Filed under: Homo sapiens (human)
Lineage: Eukaryota; Metazoa; Chordata; Mammalia; Primates; Hominidae
Description: non-protein coding lnc-SMDT1-3:26
Source: RNAcentral